This 253-nucleotide ribosomal RNA is filed under the name uncultured bacterium. RNAcentral's name for it is "partial 16S ribosomal RNA". It matches the Rfam family "Bacterial small subunit ribosomal RNA", at positions 524 to 776 of the family's 1533-position model. The record is from RNAcentral.
UACGUAGGCAGCGAGCGUUGUUCGGAGUUACUGGGCGUAAAGGGUGUGUAGGCGGUUGCUUAAGUUUGGUGUGAAAUCUCCCGGCUCAACUGGGAGGGUGCGCCGAAUACUGAGUGACUCGAGUGCGGGAGAGGAGAGUGGAAUUCCCGGUGUAGCGGUGAAAUGUGUAGAGAUCGGGAGGAACACCGGUGGCGAAGGCGGGUCUCUGGGCAAUUCCUGACGCUGAGGCGCGAAAGCGUGGGGAGCAAACGGG